CACACGACUCUCGGCAACGGAUAUCUCGGCUCUCGCAUCGAUGAAGAACGUAGCGAAAUGCGAUACCUGGUGUGAAUUGCAGAAUCCCGCGAACCAUCGAGUCUUUGAACGCAAGUUGCUUCCGAGGCCACUCGGCCGAGGGCACGCCUGCCUGGGCGUCACGC
Molecule: ribosomal RNA, 164 nt
Filed under: Thinopyrum intermedium
Lineage: Eukaryota; Viridiplantae; Streptophyta; Magnoliopsida; Poales; Poaceae
Description: 5.8S ribosomal RNA
Rfam family: 5.8S ribosomal RNA
About the family: 5.8S ribosomal RNA (5.8S rRNA) is a component of the large subunit of the eukaryotic ribosome. It is transcribed by RNA polymerase I as part of the 45S precursor that also contains 18S and 28S rRNA.
Source: RNAcentral